GACAGAGGGUGCAAACGUUGUUCGGAAUUACUGGGCGUAAAGCGCGUGUAGGCGGCCAUGCAAGUCGGAUGUGAAAGCCCUCGGCUCAACCGGGGAAGUGCACUCGAAACUGCAAGGCUAGAGUCUCGGAGAGGAUCGUGGAAUUCUCGGUGUAGAGGUGAAAUUCGUAGAUAUCGAGAGGAACACCGGUGGCGAAGGCGGCGAUCUGGACGAUGACUGACGCUGAGACGCGAAAGCGUGGGGAGCAAACGGG
Molecule: ribosomal RNA, 253 nt
Filed under: uncultured bacterium
Lineage: Bacteria
Description: partial 16S ribosomal RNA
Rfam family: Bacterial small subunit ribosomal RNA
Source: RNAcentral